This 7159-nucleotide long non-coding RNA is filed under the name Equus caballus (horse). Its description in RNAcentral is "lncRNA (ENSECAG00000060056.1)". Lineage: Eukaryota; Metazoa; Chordata; Mammalia; Perissodactyla; Equidae. The record is from RNAcentral.
CACCUGCCCUGCCCAGAUGUCUAUUGCUGCCUCUGUGACUCUAAACACUUUCCAGUUUGAGUGGCACCUUUUCUACUAGUCUGGAAGUUUAUUGGCCUUUGUGUCCCCAGUACCUACCACUUCUCCUGACACAGAGAAUGUGCUCAAACGUGUUUGCUGAAUGAACUAGAAAGUCUAAAUUAUUUCAGCUCUGCAUUAGCAAGAGUCAAUGCCACAGGGAACUAGCUGAUCAAACACUCACAGACUUUCAGACCUGCACGGGGCUUGUGGCAGCCAGCCCUCCAGAUGACCUCCAAUGAUCCCCUCCUCCUGGAAUUCAUACCUUCUUCAGUCCCUUCCCACAAUGUGUCAGGGUUGGUCUGCGUAACCAAUAGAACGAGAUGGAUGUAACAAUGUGUGACUUCCACGCCACUUCUGCCUUGCUCUGCCUUGAGUCACUCGUUCUGAAGGAAGCCAGACGCCAUGUUAUAAGGACACUCAAGCUGGCCUAUAGAGAGGUCCAUGGGAGGAGGAACUGAGGCUAGCUGCCCACAGCCAGCAUCAGCUUGCCCACCAUGGGAGGGAGCCUCCUGGCGAGCAGACCCUUCAGGCCUAGGUCAAGCCCUCAGGUGUGGCAGCCCCACCCACUGUCUUCUUGACUGCAGCCUCAAGAAAGAUGCUGAACCAGAACUACGAGCUAAGCUGCUCCCAGAGGAUCUACCACCUGUCUCCACCUGUGUUUGCUGAAGUUAGAAGUGGGCUUCCUGGAAGUAAUUGAAGGGCGUCACCUUGGGCUGUCCUGAGUACUGCUUGCUGCUGGCCUUGGCAUGGAAGGCCCAGAGACAGUCACCACCCACAGUAACCAAGACCAAGGACACUAAGUCACCCAAGUGGAACUGGAUCCCUCGAUUCUGCACGGGGUCCCUAAUGGAGGCCUCCAUCUGCCGAGACAUCCUCCUCUUCCCAUAGUCAUGGGACACAGGAGCGAGGUCACACACAGAAGGCCGCUGUAGGGGAGGGGCUUCACGAGGCCUAUGCUCUGGAGGACUCAUGAAUAGCCAGGAAUGUGGGAGCCUGAGGUCAUCCUGAAUUGCUCCCAAUUUUAACCCCGUGCAUGCCCCCAAAUGCCUCAUUUCUCCCAUUUAUGUACUUUACUCUCAUAAAUGUAAUUAAGUUUCUGUCUGUUACCGAAUCACAAGAAGGCACCCAGAGAGGUCUUUUCACUGACUUUUCCGGUGGGGGUUGAAAUGGUCUGCCCUAAACUCAUAGGCUAGGUAUUCUUGAAAUUUACUUCAGGGAGCAUGGCAGGCAUUUGUAGAGAUCUCAAAGAGACUGACAGUGACUCUCAGCAGCUGAGCCCCUUGCCAAAGGGACUGUGAGGGGACACAUGUGCUGUGCAUGUCAAGAUGCCACGGACAGAGAUAACAAAUGGGGCCUCUAAACAUUAGCCUCAGAUCGGAAGUCAUGAUCCUGGAUGCUCCGCUCAGAGUGGCAGGAGCAGGUCUGUGACAGAGCCCUGUGGCACAGGCAGCCUGCUUCUGCAGGGUAGAGGGUGUGGGAUCGACUUACUGAACUGCGUUGAAGGAUUCUCCAGGGCAAUGCUGGGGCAGCCAGCUCUUCCUCAGCUCAUCUUGUAAAUCUGAACUGAGGAGGUAAAUUUCCAUGAUCUAAGAAGCUCUUCUCUCUGCGGACAUCCACUCGGGAUUUUAUUUUUAAAGUGUUUCACUGAAAAAUGUUUGAAGGAGGCUGAAGUAGCAAGCUGUACAACCAAAACUAAGGGAAUUUCCAUGAGCUUAAUUUAAAGAAAGUUCCCCAGCAACUCAGCUAAAACAGCGUGAGAACGCAUAGGCUGUGGGCCUGAAAAUAUUUUAAUCAAGACUCCCUUUCGUGCACACUAAUUACCUUGAUGCCUCAGACUGGCUUCCAGGCUGACUGACUCCCUCACCCUCAGCUUCUUCCUACCCUCUUCGACCCCCACCUUGGGGACAGAGGAUCCUUGUCACUCCCCCAAGGGCCUGUCCUUAGCUCCCUUCCUUCUGGUGGCUCUUGCAUUUCAUGGAGGAGCCAACUCAAGGUCCAGGCUGGGUGACACCAGCCUCACAGCCUGGGCAGCCUUGUAAUCUUCCCCAGGUUUUACCUGGUGGUCCCCACGGGACCCCUAAACUCAACUAUGCACCUUCCCACCCAACCCCCAGGCCUGGGCAGGACUCCCACCACCCAGUCCUUGGAGAUGUCCCUUUCUCCUGCUCCGGUCUCUAGAAAGAGGGCUUCCUCAGAACCAGUGUUGUCUGCCAGCCUCUGACAAGGUGCAGAGGGGCUGCCCUGCAGAGAACUUGGGAGGAGCACUCUCUCUCCGCGCCUCCACACUAGACUUCCAUCUGGACGUCUGCCUACAGUGGAAGCUACGCAUCCAGCCUGGGCGGUGAACUACACGUCCGGAAGGGACUGACUUAGCUCGAGCCCCUGGCUUCACAGCCUCCGCAGGUUUACCAGAUGGCCUGUCUGCUGUCAUCUGUCCAUGCUGAGGACGCUUCCUGAAUGUCUGCCCCAAAUCUCUCCUGAAGUCAUUGAACUGGGCCUUCCUCCUCCACUUUCCUGGUCCCAAAGGACAAUAAGCGCUCUCUCUUCUCUCCCUACUUCAGGCCAGAUAGUUCUCAUCCUCGUCAGAGUCCCCUGCUUCUCUGCGUCCCUCUGGGUUAGAUGGAAAUCCACAGGUCACCAGACAAAAAGGGGCACCUGGUGCUUUUUGAUGAGCAAGAACAGAAGUUUCGAGGCCUCCGGGAAUUUUUGAAAACCUUUGGUGAAACGAAUCAGAAGAUCUGGAAGCUGUAUCUUUAAAAGGUUCCCUCUGUGGCUGCUGCCAGAUUUUGGCCUCAGGCUUGAGUCCUGAGCUCCCCCAGGGCUUGAGAAAGGGACAAGAGGAAACUGGUGCUGGGCCCUUCCCGAGGUUCGAGGUUGGAGAGCCACCGUAGGGAAGAGAGGGCCCCUCUCACUCCACCUCCUGGCCCGGGGCCUCGGCCUCUCCCUAGGAGAGUUUGGUGGUAAGUUGUCUCCCUGCGUCCCUCACGAUUUCUAUUCUCUGUCUCUCCCGUUCCCCGACUCACACCCCGUUCCCCAUCACACCCUUUUAUUCUCUGGAGACUCUGGUCAAGCCCAUGCCUUCUGUGGCCUCGGUCCUUCCUCAGUAUAAUGGCAGGUUUGGGUUACAUCCGGGUUUCCAAAGGUCCCGUCACUUGAAAGCCCCAUCACAAUUUUGCAUUUUUUGUACUGUCCUCUACUUGAAAUUUUUUAAUCUACACAUUCUGUGUUUGGUAAAUGUAUUUUAAAUGACCACUUUAUGUCACAAUUAUAAGUGGAAAACCAACUUCCCUUGUUAGAAAUAGAAGGAAACAAGAACAAUUGGAAAACAAAAUAGUGUUCCUAAGUCCCACUGAGACACUUUUGCCUCCGAAAGGGAGGUCUGCCCUCUCCUCUGUCACGUUCCCAGUCUAUGUCCUAAAAUCACCUCGGGUGCCAUUGGUGGAGCAGACCCCAAACUUUGUCCAACCAUGGAUUCAAGAUCUCUGGGAUCCAGUUCAAUUACUGAUGUUUCUUUCUCCCCCCUCCUUCCCAGCUGCUUUUUAUAACCCCCUGUAAUGAUCAUAACAUACACACAAAUACAAUCCUCUGCACUUAAAAAGACUUUUUUUUUUUUUGGCUCCCACCAGCCCACAGAACAAGGGACCAGCAUUGUUUCGGGAGAGAUAACAGGCUCUGUUUCCAAUGUCCCUCCCCACUGGCCCUGACAGAUACCUCGGUGGUUCCUGACAGGAAAUCCCCUUCUGCCUCAUGGAAAACCCAGACAAGGAAGCAGAGCAGCCCCCAUGGACUGUUCAGGCUCCACCCAGCGUUGUAGAAGUAAAAAAAGGUCCAUCAUCUCAGGCCGGGGUCUGGAAGCCCCUGGGCUCUGACCACACUUACAAGGACACUGCAGCCUGUGAGGAGACACACACAGAACACCAGGCCUCUUACGGUGGCAUCGGCACCAUAGCUUACCAGGUCCACAGUGGUUUUGACUCUUACAUCAACUUGAUGAAGUCUGCAGAGGAACAGGUAUCGCUCCCUCCGUUUGGCAAAUGAGAAAACCACAGCCAAGAGGCUCUGCCGGAGAUCUAACUCAAGGUCAGGACCAAGCCCCAGAGUGCAGCUGAGUCCCAGUGACAGAGUCGGACACUCACGCCAAGCACACCCUGAGCCGGGCCACCUCCCAACCCAUCCCACCCCCUCCCUGUUGGGGUGAACGGGUCCUGCCUGGGGGCAGCAGGUCGUGCGUGGAGGCCUGAAGGAUGCCGAGUGAUGACUCGAGCAGCCGUCUUCUGCUGUGGGGCCUUCCUAGGCCUUCCAAGAGACCAGGUGAAACCAGGAGGCCCUGCCCCAAGCCUUGCCCUGUCUUACUUCAGUAGGUAGAGCUAGGCUCAGGAUGGAACCCUGGGGUCGGCCAAGAUGCCUGGGGCCUCGCUUCUAGCUGCCUCUGCAGCCUGGGAAACCUCUGUCCUCACUUCUGUGCUGGCCUCACCAUGGAGGGGGCUUUCUCUCCCACCUUCCCUACCAAGGACCCCUUUAAUCCCGAAACUGUGUUUUUACCAUACAAACCACAAUUGCUGUGUAACGCUUCCUUCAUUUUCUCAGUUUGUGCUGACCAAGGCUGUGAGAGCCAUCAGACCCCUGGGCAGUGGGGACAACCCAUGCCAUGUUCUGCACUGCAGACUCCCACACGAGCCUGCACGUCCAUCCCCUUUCUCGACACUCCUUUGUAAGUCAUUGUUUGACAUUCUUACCCACUCAUAUUCCUUUCCUAUGACUGCUGUAACAAAUCACCACAAACUUGGUUUGAAACAAUAGACAUUUAUCCUCUCACAGUUCUUGAGGCCAGAAGUCUGGACCGAAGGUGUUGGUAGGGUUGGUUCCUGCCGGAUGCUCUGAGGGAGAAGCUUGUCCAUGCCUCUCUAGCCUCCAGUGGCAGUCAGCAAUCCUUGGCUUGUAGGAGCAUCACUCUAGUCUCUGCCUCCAUUUCACGUGGCCUCCCCUGCUCUGUCUCACGGUCUGUUUCCCAGAGAAACAUUCAUACGUUGUUAGAUUUCAACAAAUGAAUUUUGAGGGGACACAAAUGUGAAGUCCAUCACGCUCAUUAUUUCCAAUAAGACAAGGAUCUUUAGACUCAUCUUUGAAAAUGAUUCUCAAGUUAGAGAACCAUGGAGAGAACAUCAGUGUCCAUCCAGCUGAGCCCCCACGGUAUAGAUGAAUCUCCUCUACAAGCCCCUCUCAAAUGAUUUCCUAGUGUCCACCUAAACACCUCCAUCCACCAUGUCCGGAGGCAGCCAUAGAGUCCUUGGGUCGCCCUACCAUGGAGGAACAUUGUCCUGCUGAGUUACAGUCCAGAACCUGCAGCUCCCAUUCUCAGGCCCAGUUUUAGCCCUGGGGCCGUGUAGAGCAAGUCCACAUCUCUUCUCCAUGGGACAGCUCUUCAGAUAUUUAGCAACCACUGUUCUGGUCUUCCCAGCUCCAGGGUGAACACCGCCCCCAGCCCACCGUUGCAAACACGGUGGGGUCUUCCUGGUCAUCCUUCUCUGAACAGGUCCUAGUUUGUCUCUACCCCUUCAUUUAGAAGUGGGGUGCCCAGAAAUGCAAACAAUGGCCGUCUGCAUGCUGUUCAUCCUGUAACACAGAAUCCAGUGCUGGGAUAACAGCGGGAAGCAAGACAGACAGGGUCCAGCUGUCCUGAAGCUCCUGUUCCAGCUAAGGGGGUGGGGGAUGGAGAGAAACAAAUAAGGAACAUAUCAGAGAGUGAGAGAGGCUCUUCUGAGAGCUGCAGCAGGGGUCUACCAUAAAGCAUGACCAGUGGUCAGGUAGCCUCUUUGCGGGACUGGUGUUUAUGCCCAGGUCCGAAUGACAAGAACAGCUAAAGCAAAGUCCCUAAUGCACCACAGACCCCCUCCUUCACCCCCCUUUCCCUAAGGCCCCACCACCCUCCGAUCCUCCCGCCCCACGCUGGCUCCUAUCUCUCUCCAAAUCACAGGCAUUCCCCAAGCAGGGCCAGCGCCAGAAGGGUGGGCCCUGGGGCAGCUCAGCCACUCUGGGGGCCGCCGAAGGUAAUCACACUGAAAUUCCAGGAUUGAAUUCAAUGACAUGGAGAAGAGAAAAGAGGAUUAGGUGUAGUUCAAGCCGCCCAGCCCUCUCCCCACCAGUGUGGGGUCCAGGCUAUUGGGUGCCCUUCUCAAAGGUCUGCUUCUGAGCAGAAGGAACCAGGAUCCAAAAGACAGGUAGAAAGGGUGCCUGGAAUGGGGGUGCCCUGCAGCCUGGUCUUCAGCGAACCCCAACCUCUCCACUGAGCCCACAAAACCCACUACCCAGGUGGUCUUCAAAGAUACCUGGAUGCUAUCAGACUCAGCUGAAACACCCAGCAGCCUCUGCCCUCUGGUGGGAUCAAUCCCAAAGCCCACGUGGUGACAGCUCUCCAGCGGGCACCUGCCCUCCAACGCAAUCAUCUGUGCUGUGUCCAUGACCCCACGGAGAGCGCUGUCAAGGAGGUGCUUUCCUGCAUCACCAGUGCCCAGCUCUGUGCCUGCAAAGAAUCCGGUCUACACACACAUUUGUUGAAGGAAGAAAAGAAGGGAGGAAGGGAGGGGUGAGAGAAGAAAGGAACUCUGAGCUGCAUCCUCAGCCCUCCCAUCACAGGCCAGCUCUCAGAAGUGGGCGCUGGCUCCUGUUUGCACACUUGGGACAGCUCUGGUCUCCUCCUCCUUGUCUCCCAUGUGCGCAUGCCUGAAGGAGCUCAGAACCCCGACUUCCUUCCACCUGAAGAUGCUGGAGUUGUGGUAGGGUGCAGGGUUCAGACCGUCUCCCGGGAACGGGUUGCAGGGGGAAGGCAGGGCAGGAAGGCCCGAGACACUCCCCCCAGGAGCUUCUGCGUUUUGGCCAGCACGGCCCUGGCCGGAGGGCAGCCCAGGGCUUUUCUCCCCUCCAUUUCUGGAGCCUGGCCACAGGCCUCUGGACAGCACACUCUGCCCUGUUCCUACCAGAGGCUGAGGCCCCUCGGGCUCCCUGUGGCUCCAGGAUUCUGAGAACUGGACAUGUUGUCACCAUUUGACAUGGCAAGAGGCCAGAAGUGUCCAAGGGUAGCCGGUCCUCCGAUAGUGACAAG